AACAGAAUUCAGUUCGAUAUAGUCUGGGGCCCGUGCCCAUCACAGAAUCAGUUUGGGCCUUAGCCCAUUCAGAUACAGUCUCAGAAAUACAUUAGGGCCUUGGCCCACAUUAGAUACAGAAUGCAGAUACAGUAAAUAAGAAUCCUACCCACCAGCAUCUACACAGCAUCUUCGUCCAACCGUAUACACUAUGUGGGGAUUAAAUCAACCCACCCAUCCUUACACACCACGCUGUAUUGAAAU
This 243-nucleotide long non-coding RNA is filed under the name Gossypium barbadense (sea-island cotton). Its description in RNAcentral is "long non-coding RNA (GBAR_LNC016552)". Lineage: Eukaryota; Viridiplantae; Streptophyta; Magnoliopsida; Malvales; Malvaceae. The record is from RNAcentral.